This 220-nucleotide small nucleolar RNA is filed under the name Exserohilum turcica Et28A. Its description in RNAcentral is "Setosphaeria turcica Et28A Fungal small nucleolar RNA U3". It matches the Rfam family "Fungal small nucleolar RNA U3". Rfam says of the family: Small nucleolar RNAs (snoRNAs) are involved in the processing and modification of rRNA in the nucleolus. Lineage: Eukaryota; Fungi; Ascomycota; Dothideomycetes; Pleosporales; Pleosporaceae. The record is from Rfam by way of RNAcentral.
UAAGAUAAUCUAAGGAAUCUAUUUUUUAGUAGUCGUCCUCUUCUGAGUUACUCUAAGUAGCUACAGAUUCUCCAACCUGGCUGAUGACUUUCAGCCCCGAUGUCCCGGAGUGAGGCCUUGUUUACGUUUUGCUUCGGCGAGCGUGGCGAUGAUCUUCAGCUGACCAGUUGCGCACUUCGGUCGCACUGGGAGGCAGGACGUUGGCGGCAAUCUGACAGGC